This 338-nucleotide unclassified non-coding RNA is filed under the name soil metagenome. RNAcentral describes it as "partial contains 5.8S ribosomal RNA, internal transcribed spacer 2, and large subunit ribosomal RNA". The stretch from base 3 to 119 matches the Rfam family "5.8S ribosomal RNA", at positions 38 to 154 of the family's 154-position model. The record is from RNAcentral.
GAGAAGAACGCAGCGAAAUGCGAUACGUAGUGUGAAUUGCAGAAUUCAGUGAAUCAUCGAAUCUUUGAACGCACAUUGCACCUCUCGGUAUUCCGGGAGGUAUGCCUGUUCGAGCGUCAUUUGUACCCUCAAGCUCUGCUUGGUGUUGGGUGUUUGUUCCGCCUCUGUGUGUGAACUCGCCUCAAAACAAUUGGCAGCCGGCGUACUUGUUUCGGAGCGCAGCACAUUUUGCGAUCCAGAUCAACGUACAGCGGCAUCCAAGAAGCCUUAUUUAACGCUCUUGACCUCGGAUCAGGUAGGGAUACCCGCUGAACUUAAGCAUAUCAAUAAGCGGAGGA